Molecule: long non-coding RNA, 11657 nt
Filed under: Triticum aestivum (bread wheat)
Lineage: Eukaryota; Viridiplantae; Streptophyta; Magnoliopsida; Poales; Poaceae
Description: long non-coding RNA (TAES_LNC004997)
Source: RNAcentral
UGCCGGAGCAACGACCCUGCGGCGCCGACGACCAAGGCCCAGGUCGCCAUCUCCGAGGGCUUCUACCACUACGGCAUCAUGUUGGACAAGGGGUUCAACCUGCCCAUGGAUCUCACGUGCAGCUCCGGCGACGCGCUCCGGUGCCGGGAGGACGGGUGCCACGACGCGUUCCCGUACGUGAAGUACAACGACCACUCAUGCACCGCCGCCGGCAGCCGGCUCCAAAUCAUCUUCUGCCCAUGAUGAGCUAGCUAGCGGCAGAAUGUAAACAUAUAACCUACACAUAUACUACGUGUAGUAGUACAUACUCAGACGUGUCAUGUAUUCUCAGCGGUACGUACGUACACGUAUGAACGCACGUGCGAGUUUCCAAUAAAAUUGCCAUGUGUGAUGUGCCUUUGAUAUAUUGUUCUUUUUUAUCGAAUGCCUUUGAUAUAUUGUUCUUUUUUAUUGAAUGCCUUUGAUAUAUUGUUUACGGGAAUUUACACACAAAAGAACGUGAAUUUGAACAAGAUAGCCUACAAAUAUGUAUGUUUUUCCACACACAAAAAAUAUAUGUAUGUUCUAACAUUGGGACUCAGCUUGAUUUUUUUUUCGAGGGGUGGGACUCAGGUUGAUGGUCAGGGUCUCAACUGGCAUGGCCACGAUUUUUAUAGAGAUUGAGCCAGGAUAUGUGAUUGGGGCAUGAUACCAGCUUUUUUUCCAACCGGGCUCACAACCCCUUUCCAUUAAUUUUGCAAUCAACGGAAAUACAUCAGUCUGGUUUCAAGUUCUAUAUCGAGCAUCCACUUGCUAAAGAUAACUAGACUGAAAGAUAGAACUGACCGCAAGCAAAAUGAGACUGAAAGAGGAGAGCAGGUUGGUGCAUCAUCAGGAAACCCAUCGUCGGACAAUCCUGGAACGGACCAUCCGUCGUGGCGCGAAAACCUGAUGACACUUACAAGCAACUGCCCAACCAAAAUACCCAAGGUUCCCAGGAUGAAAUUGCCAGUAAGCCUCUACGACUAGGCGAACCACAACCAGGAAGCACAAUUACCAGCGGGCAUCAAACCCCAGUGGACAACAGAACGCAAAAGGAAAGAUCCAAGCGCCGAUUUCAUCUAACCAAUCUGGAUCCCAUCUCUGUCUCCCAAGAGAAGUCUGCCACGAGGGAAGGACCUGUCCGCCAGCGCAGCAGCCGCGUGAGCUAACCUCUUCACUCCAUCUUGGAACUUCACCUUCUCAUCCUCCUUAAGCAGACCUCACUAGUAGAAAAAGGGUCAAACGUGAAGCACAUUAGUGCCGGUUUGUAUUUGAGCCGGUACUAAUGGUACCAUUAGUGCCGGUUCGAACGGAUUUGCAUUAAUGCCGGUUCGUGUUGAACCUUUAGUACCGGUUCGUGGCACGAACUGGUACUAAAGGGGUGGUGGCAGGCUGGCGUCAGGCCGGGGCCCCACGAUCACCUUCAGUACGGGUUCGUGGCACGAACCGGUACUAAAGGUCUAACCUUUAGUACCGGUUCGUGCCAUGAACCGGUACUAAAGGGGUCUGACCUAUAGUACCGGUUGGAGACACAAACCGGCACUAUAGGGCAAUUUUCAAACUUGAAAAAAUCAUAACUAAAUCAUCGUAAUUCAGAAAAAUACAUAUAAUAUAUCAAAAUAUGCAGACUUUUAAGAAAGAAAUUAGGAAGGCUAUACAGGGAAAAUGCGUGAAGGUUCUCGCAGAGUGUGUUCCUUUAAUCUCACCAACCAGUUAGCUUAGGAUGUGCGAAUCAACCUGUGGUUGGACGGUUAGAGGGACAAUAGUAUCCACAACCCAUCAUGGUUUAAGUCCUGGUGCUCACAUUAUUCCUGGAUUUAUUUUAGGAUUUCUGGCGUUGUGCUUUCAGCGGGAGGAGACGUUCCUGUCGACAACGAGGCGCCUACGGUAACUUUGUAAAUGUCAAGAUGAUAUACUGGCUAGGUCUCUCGUAGGUGCUCAUAGGGGUAGGAAUGUGCAUGUGUGCAUUCAUAGGGGUGAGCGUAUGUGCGUAUGUUUGAGCACUUGCGUCUAUACUAUGCUAAAAACAGAUAGCUCGGAAUGUGUGUUAUGCUAUAUGUAUAUAACCUAGUUUCCGCUGUAAAGGGCCCGUGCGUUGCAAUAUGAAAACCCGCGAAAGUUGACCUCGGUACCAAUUGGCAGGAUCUCACAGACCUGCGAGGGCCCCACUUGCCACCCUUCCUUCCCACCGACACGGAGCCUCCAAGUAUACUCUUCAUCCACGUGUUGUGUGGCUGAGACAUGGACAAAAAUACACAGUAAUCGUGCAUUCUUGUCGUCCUGAAUGAAGAUACAUAAAUUUACAGAAUAUUUUUAAUACAGGUUGAAUUUUUUUGAAGUACACGUUGUCAAUUUUUUGAAUGCAUGACGAACAUAUUUCGAAAACACGUUUGCAGUUUUUUAAUACAUGUGAAACAUUUUUGGAAAACAUGUUUACAAUUUUAUAAUAUACAGGAGGUGCUCUUCGGUCUAGCUGAAGCCGAAGAGGUGCUCUUCGAUCUAACUUAGGCCGAAGACAGGUCUUCGGUGUACUGUAGACUGAAGAGCUCCGAAGUCGGGCCAAAAAGAACUCUUCGGUCUACGCUUGGCUGAAGAAUGCACUUCGGUUUAAGCCAAGCCGAAGUGUCCUCUGAGGCCCACCUCUUCGCGUGAACUGCAGACCGAAGUUGCAUGGCAGCACACUUCGGUUUACACUUGGCUGAAGAGGACCUCUUUGGUUUAUACUAGGCUGAAGAGUGACCUUUUCCCGCCAAGCCUUUUCCGCCAUCUGUAAUGUAUCUUUCCCUCCAUUUGUUCACGCCAUUUUCUUUCCCUCCACUGUUUCCUUCCAUCCUCUUUCCUGCCCAGUUUUCCUGCCAACCCCUUACCGUCAUUCUAUAAAACCAGACCUCUUGCCUGUUGUUUUCUGAAUCUUUCCUUAGCAAUAUUUUCAGUCAUGUCCGACGACAAUUCCGGCGGUUUUACUCCACUAAUGUCUCAUUUGCCCUUGUGCAAUGCCUCAAGAAUGCAUAGGCCUAGUAUGGGGGGUGUGUGAAGGAAAUAUACCCUAGAGGCAAUAAUAAAGUUAUUAUUUAUUUCCUUAUUUCAUGAUUAAUAUUUAUUAUUCAUGCUAGAAUUGUAUUAACCGGAAACAUAAUACAUGUGUGAAUACAUAGACAAACAAAGUGUCACCAGUAUGCCUCUACUUGACUAGCUCGUUGGUCAAAGAUGGUUAUGUUUCCUAACCAUAGACACGAGUUGUCAUUUGAUUAACGGGAUCACAUCAUUAGGAGAAUGAUGUGAUUGACUUGACCCAUUCCGUUAGCUUAGCACACGAUCGUUUAGUAUGUUGCUAUUGCUUUCUUCAUGAAUUAUACAUGUUCCUAUGACUAUGAGAUUAUGCAACUCCCAUUUACUAGAGGAACACUUUGUGUUCUACCAAACGUCACAACGUAACUGGGUGAUUAUAAAGGUGCUCUACAAGUGUCUCUGAAGGUACUUGUUGGGUUGGCGUAUUUCGAGAUUAGGAUUUGUCACUUCGAUUGUCGGAGAGGUAUCUCUGGGUCCUCUUGAUAAUGCACAUCACUUAAGCCUUGCAAGCAAUGCAACUAAUGAGUUAGUUGCGGGAUGAUGUAUUACGGAACGAGUAAAGAGACUUGCCAGUAACGAGAUUGAACUAGGUAUUGAGAUACCGACGAUCGAAUCUCGGGCAAGUAACAUACCGAUGACAAAGGGAACAACGUAUGUUGUUAUGCUGUCUGACCGAUAAAGAUCUUCGUAGAAUAUGUAGGAGCCAAUAUGAGCAUCCAGGUUCCGCUAUUGGUUAUUGACUGGAGACGUGUCUCGGUCAUGUCUACAUUGUUCUCGAACCCGUAGGGUCCGCACGCUUAAGGUUUCGAUGACAGUUAUAUUAUGAGUUUAUAAGUUUUGAUGUACCGAAGGAGUUCGGAGUCCCGGAUGAGAUCGAGGACAUGACGAGGAGUCUCGAAAUGGUCGAGACAUAAAGAUCGAUAUAUUGGACAACCAUAUUCGGACAUCGUAAAGGUUCCGCGUGAUUCGGGUAUUUUUCGGACUACCGGAGAGUUACGGGAAUUCGCCGGGGACUAUAUGGGCCUUAUUGGGCCAUACGGGAAUAGAGGAGAGAGGCCAAAAGGAAGGAGGCCCCCCUCUGGUCUGAAUUGGACAAGGGGUGCAACAACAACAUACAACUAUCUAGAUAAAGCAUUUAAAUGCAACAACAAAUGCGAUCAAAAUUGCAACUAAGGUAAUAAUUGAUCCAAUAGCAUAAUGAUACCAAGCCUAUUUAUUUGCGGCAUAUUUUCUAAACUUUCUAAUCUUCAAGCGCAUUGCAUCCAUCUUGAUCUUUGGAUCAUCGACGACAACAGCAACAUACAAAUCCAAUUUCAUCUUCUCUUUUCAAUUCUUUUUAAUUUUUCAUUCAAAUACUCAUUUUCUUUUUCAACUAAAUUUAACUUCUCGACAAGAGGGUCGGUGGCAAUUUCUGAUUCACAUACCUCCUAAAUAAAAAUAUAUAUGUUAGCUUGAUGGGCAUAAUUGUCAUAAACACAAAAUGCAACAAAUAGUUAUAAAAGAUAUUAUACCACAUCCGAAUCAUAAAUCAGACAAGGGCCGUCGGCGAAGGAUAUCAAAACCAUGGCACUACGUAUAACAAACAAUCAUACAAGUAAGAAAAUUAUACAAGCUACUAUCUAAAUCAUAGAAAUAAGAUUUCUUUGCACAAAAAGGAUAAGAACAAGAGCCUCACCAAGGAGGUGUCGGCGACGGGACGGCGCGGGCGAUCGAUGAUGGUGAGGACGGGAAGGCAGUAGUUAAACCACACCUACACAUAUGGAAACUAAGAAGUUAAUUUGAGCUCAAAUUACAUAUAAAUCAAAUAAACUCCCACAUAAUUACUCCCAAACCAAAACCCACAAAUGACUAUACUUAUACAGCAAGAAACAAGCUAAACUAGCAAUGAGAGAGGAAAGGACAAAGUUACUAACCUUUUAAACACUUGGAUAGAUGGGGUGCCUCAAAUCUUAACAAAUCUUGGCAGUUAGAUGACACCACUACACUACACACGGUAGGAGUUAUCUUGAACGAAACACAAGGGAAAAAAGUCGGACCCGACAAAGGUCGUCCAGGUAGGUAGCCAUCUUUGAAUUGAAUGAGUGUUCUCCAAAGUAGCUAGCUCGGUGAGAUGAUCGACAUCUUCAUCACGAACCCUAUACAAACGCCAAGCUCCAUGAGCUCAGUCCCAGCACACACACACACCCACAGUUCCACCUAAUAUAAUGGCCGGAAGCGCGAGCGCCACUCCGGUCCUCCUCGUCGUCGUGCUCGCGACCCUCGUCGCGGGGGCCAGCACGACAUCGACGCUGACGCCGCUCAGCAUCACCAACCGGUGCUCCUUCACGGUGUGGCCGGCGGUGGCCUCCGCAGGCCUCGGCACCGAGCUCCAUCCGGGAGCCGACUGGACCGUGGACGCGUCGGUGAUCCACUACACCGCGGACAUAUGGGGGCGCACGGGGUGCUCCUUCGACGCGGCAGGCAGGGGGCGGUGCCAGACGGCGGACUGCGGCAGCGGGCUGCGGUGCCGGAGCACCGACCUUGCGGCACCGGCGACCAAGGCCCAGGUCGCCAUCUCCGAGGGCUUCUACCACUACGGCAUCACGUUGGACAAGGAGUUCAACCUGCCCAUGGAUCUCACGUGCAGCUCCGGCGACGCGCUCCGGUGCCGGGAGGACGGGCGCCACGAUGCGUUCCCGUACGUGAAGUACAACGACCACUCGUGCACCGCCGUCGGCAGCCGGCUCCAGACCGUCUUCUGCCCAUGAUGAGCUAGCUAGCGGCAGAAUGUAAACAUAUAACCUACACAUAUACUACGUGUAGUAGUACAUACUCAGACGUGUCAUGUAUUCUCAGCGGUACGUACGUACACAUAUGAACGCACGUGCGAGUUUCCAAUAAAAUUGCCAUGUGUGAUGUGCCUUUGAUAUAUUGUUCUUUUUUAUCGAAUGCUUUUGAUAUAUUGUUCUUUUUUAUUGAAUGCCUUUGAUAUAUUGUUUACGGGAAUUUACACACAAAAGAACGUGAAUUUGAACAAGAUAGCCUACAAAUAUGUAUGUUUUUCCACACACAAAAAAUAUAUGUAUGUUCUAACAUUGGGACUCAGCUUGAAUUUUUUUUCGAGGGGUGGGACUCAGGUUGAUGGUCAGGGUCUCAAAUGGCAUGGCCACGAUUUUUAGAGAGGUUGAGCCAGGAUAUGUGAUUGGGGCAUGAUACCAGCUUUUUUUCCAACCGGGCUCACAACCCCUUUCCAUUAAUUUUGCAAUCAACGGAAAUACAUCAGUCUGGUUUCAAGUUCUGUAUCGAGCAUCCACUUGUAAAGAUAACUAGACUGAAAGAUAGAACUAACCGCAAGCAAAAUGAGACUGAAAGAGGAGAGCAGGUUGGUGCAUCAUCAGGAAACCCAUCGUCGGACAGUCCUGGAACGGACCAUCCGCCGUGGCGCGAAAACUUGAUGACACUUACAAGCAACUGCCCAACCAAAAUACCCAAGGUUCCCAGGAUGAAACUGCCAGUAAGCCUCUACGACUAGGCGAACCACAACCAGGAAGCACAAUUGCCAGCGGGCAUCAAACCCCAGUGAACAACAGAACGCAAAAGGAAAGAUCCAAGCGCCGAUUUCAUCUAGCCAAUCUGGAUCCCAUCUCUGUCUCCCAAGAGAAGUCUGCCACGAGGGAAGGACCUGUCCGCCAGCGCAGCAGCCGCGUGAGCUAACCUCUUCACUCCAGCUUGGAACUUCACCUUCUCAUCCUCCUUAAGAAGACCUCACUAGUAGAAAAAGGGUCAAAUGUGAAGCACAUUAGUGCCGGUUUGUAUUUGAGCCGGUACUAAUGGUACCAUUAGUGCCGGUUCGAAUGGAUUUGCAUUAAUGCCGGUUCGUGUUGAACCUUUAGUACCGGUUCGUGGCACGAACCGGUACUAAAGGGGUGGUGGCAGGCUGGCGUCAGGCCGGCGCCCCACGAUCACCUUUAGUACCGGUUCAUGGCACGAACCGGUACCAAACCUUUAGUACCGGUUCGUGCCAUGAACCGGUACUAAAGGGGUCUGACCUAUAGUACCGGUUGGAGACACAAACCGGCACUAUAGGGCAAUUUUCAAACUUGAAAAAAUCAUAACUAAAUCAUCGUAAUUCAGAAAAAUACAUAUAAUAUAUCAAAAUAUGCAGACUUUUAAGGAAGAAAUUAGGAAGGCUAUACAGGGAAAAUGCGUGAAGGUUCUCGCAGAGUGUGGUCCUUUAAUCUCACCAACCAGUUAGCUUAGGAUGUGCGAAUCAACCUGUGGUUGGACGGUUAGAGGGACAGUAGUAUCCACAGCCCAUCAGGGUUUAAGUCCUGGUGCUCACAUUAUUCCUGGAUUUAUUUUAGGAUUUCUGGCAUUGUGCUUUCAGCGGGAGGAGACGUUCCUGUCGACAACGAGGCGCCUACGGUGACUUUGUAAAUGUCAAGAUGAUAUACUGGCUAGGUCUCUCGUAGGUGCUCAUAGGGGUAGGAAUGUGCAUGCGUGCAUUCAUAGGGGUGAGCGUAUGUGCGUAUGUUUGAGCACUUGCGUCUAUACUAAGCUAAAAAUUAGAUAGCUCGGAAUGUGUGUUAUGCUAUAUGUAUAUAACCUAGUUUCCGCUGUAAAGGGCCCGUGCGUUACAAUGUGAAAACCCGCGAAAGUUGACCUUAGUACCAAUUGGCAGUAUCUCACAGACCUGCGAGGGCCCCACUUGCCACCCUUCCUUCCCACCGACACGGAGCCUGCAAGUAUACUCUUCAUCCACGUGUUGUGUGGCUCAAACAUGGACGAAAAUACACAGUAAUCGUGAAUGCUUGUCGUCCUGAAUGAAGAUACAUAAAUUUACAGAAUAUUUUUAAUACAGGUAGAAUUUUUUUGAAGUACACGUUGUCAAUUUUUUGAAUGCAUGACGAACAUAUUUCGAAAACACGUUUGCGGUUUUUUAAUACAUGUGAAACAUUUUUGGAAAACAUGUUUACAAUUUUAUAAUAUACAGGAGGUGCUCUUCGGUCUAGCUGAAGCCGAAGAGGUGCUCUUCGGUCUAACUUAGGCCGAAGACGGGUCUUCGGUGUACUGUAGACUGAAGAGCUCCGAAGUCGGGCCGAAAAGAACUCUUCGGUCUACGCUUGGCCGAUGAGUGCACUUCGGUUUAAGCCAAGCCGAAGUGUCCUCUGAGGCCCACCUCUUCGCGUGAACUGCAGACCGAAGUUGCAUGGCACCACACUUCGGUUUACACUUGGCUGAAGAGGACCAAUUUGGUUUAUACUAGGCUGAGGAGUGACCUUUUCCCGCCAAGCCUUUUCCGCCAUCUGUAAUGUAUCUUUCCCUCCAUUUGUUCACGCCAUUUUCUUUCCCUCCACUGUUUCCUUCCAUCCUCUUUCCCGCCCAAUUUUCCUGCGAACCCCUUACCCUCAUUCUAUAAAACCAGACCCCUUGCCUGUUGUUUUCUGCAUCUUUCCUUAGCAAUAUUUUCAGUCAUGUCCGACGACAAUUCCGGCGGUUUUACUCCACUAAUGUCUCAUUUGCCCUUGUGCAAUGCCUCAAGAAUGCAUAGGCCUAGUAUGGGGGGUGUGUGAAGGAAAUAUACCCUAGAGGCAAUAAUAAAGUUAUUAUUUAUUUCCUUAUUUCAUGAUAAGUGUUUAUUAUUCAUGCUAGAAUUGUAUUAACCGGAAACAUAAUACAUGUGUGAAUAGAUAGACAAACAAAGUGUCACUAGUUGGUCAAAGAUGGUUAUGUUUCCUAACCAUAGACACGAGUUGUCAUUUGAUUAACGGGAUCACAUCAUUAGGAAAAUGAUGUGAUUGACUUGACCCAUUCCGUUAGCUUAGCACAUGAUCGUUUAGUAUGUUGCUAUUGCUUUCUUCAUGACUUAUACAUGUUCCUAUGACUAUGAGAUUAUGCAACUCCCAUUUACCAGAGGAACACUUUGUGUGCUACCAAACGUCACAACGUAACUGGGUGAUUAUAAAGGUGCUCUACAAGUGUCUCCGAAGGUACUUGUUGGGUUGGCGUAUUUCGAGAUUAGGAUUUGUCACUUCGAUUGUCGGAGAGGUAUCUCUGGGUCCUCUUGGUAAUGCACAUCACUUAAGCCUUGCAAGCAAUGCAACUAAUGAGUUAGUUACGGGAUGAUGUAUUACGGAACGAGUAAAGAGACUUGCCAGUAACGAGAUUGAACUAGGUAUUGAGAUACCGACGAUCGAAUCUCGGGCAAGUAACAUACCGAUGACAAAGGGAACAACGUAUGUUCUUAUGCAGUCUGACCGAUAAAGAUCUUCGUAGAAUAUGUAGGAGCCAAUAUGAGCAUCCAGGUUCCGCUAUUGGUUAUUGACUGGAGACGUGUCUCGGUCAUGUCUACAUUGUUCUCGAACCCGUAGGGUCCGCACGCUUAAGGUUUUGAUGACAUUUAUAUUAUGAGUUUAUAAGUUUUGAUGUACCGAAGGAGUUCGGAGUCCCGGAUGAGAUCGAGGACAUGACGAGGAGUCUCGAAAUGGUCGAGACAUAAAGAUCGAUAUAUUGGACGACCAUAUUCGGACAUCGGAAAGGUUCCGAGUGAUUCGGGUAUUUUUCGGACUACCGGAGAGCUACGGGAAUUCGUCGGGGAGUAUAUGGGCCUUAUUGGGCCAUACGGGAAUAGAGGAGAGAGGCCGAAAGAAAGGAGGCCCCCCCUCUGGUCCGAAUUGGACAAGGGGUGCAACAACAACAUACAACUAUCUAGAUAAAGCAUUUAAAUGCAACAACAAAUAUGAUCAAAAUUGCAACUAAGGUAAUAAUUGAUCCAAUAGCAUAAUGAUACCAAGCCUAUUUAUUAGCGGCAUAUUUUCUAAACUUUCUAAUCUUCAAGCGCAUUGCAUCCAUCUUGAUCUUUGGAUCAUCAACGACAACGGCAACAUACAAAUCCAAUUUCAUCUUCUCUUCUCAAUUCUUUUUAAUUUUUCUUUCAAAUACUCAUUUUCUUUUUCAACUAAAUUGAACUUCUCGACAAGAGGGUCGGUGGCAAUUUCUGGUUCACAUACCUCCUAGAUAAAAAUAUAUAUGUCAGCUUGAUGGGCAUAAUUGUCAUAAACACGAAAUGCAACAAAUAGUUAUAAAAGAUAUUAUACCACAUCCGAAUCAUAAAUCGGACAAGGGCCGUUGGCGAAGGAUAUCAAAACCAUGGCACUACGUAUAACAAACAAUCAUACAAGUAAGAAAAUUAUACAAGCAACUAUCUAAAUCAUAGAAAUAAGAUUUCUUUGCACAAAAAGGAUAAGAACAAGAGCCUCACCAAGGAGGUGUCGGCGACGGGACGGCGCGGGCGAUCGAUGGCGGUGAGGACGGGAAGGCAGUAGUUAAACCACACCUACACAUAUGGAAACUAAUAAGUUAAUUUGAGAUCAAAUUACAUAUAAAUCAAAUAAACUCCCACAUAAUUACUCCCAAACCAAAACCCACAAAUGACUAUACUUAUACAGCAUGAAACAAGCUAAACUAGCAAUGAGAGAGGAAAGGACAAUGUUACUAACCUUUUAAACACUUGGAUAGAUGGGGUGCCUCAAAUCUUAACAAAUCUUGGCAGUUAGAUGACACCACUACACUACACACGGUAGGAGUUAUCUUGAACGAAACACAAGGGAAAAAAGUCGGACCCGACAAAGGUCGUCCAGGUAGGUAGCCAUCUUUGAAUUGAAUGAGUGUUCUCCAAAGUAGAUAGCUCGGUGAGAUGAUCGACAUCUUCAUCACGAACCCUAUAUAAACGCCAAGCUCCAUGAGCUCAGUCCCAGCACACACACACCCACAGUUCCACCUAAUAUAAUGGCCGGAAGCGCGAGCGCCACUCCGGUCCUCCUCGUCGUCGUGGUCGCGGCCCUCGCCGCGGGGGCCAGCGCGACAUCGACGCUGACGCCGCUCAGCAUCACCAACCGGUGCUCCUUCAUGGUGUGGCCGGCGGUGGCCUCCGCAGGCCUCGGCACCGAGCUCCAUCCGGGAGCCAACUGGACCGUGGUCGCGUCAGCGAUCCACUACACCGCGGACAUAUGGGGGCGCACGGGCUGCUCCUUCGACGCGGCAGGCAGGGGGCGGUGCCAGACGGCAGACUGCGGCAGCGGGCUGCGCUGCCGGAGCACCGACCCUGCGGCGCCGGCGACCAAGGCCCAGGUCGCCAUCUCCGAGGGCUUCUACCACUACGGCAUCACGUUGGACAAGGGGUUCAACCUGCCCAUGGAUCUCAUGUGCAGCUCCGGCGACGCGCUCCGGUGCCGGGAGGACGGGUGCCACGACGCGUUCCCGUACGUGAAGUACAACGACCACUCAUGCACCGCCGCCGGCAGCCAGCUCCAGAUCGUCUUCUGCCCAUGAUGAGAUAGCUAGCGGCAGAACGUAAACAUAUAACCUACACAUAUACUACGUGUAGUAGUACAUACUCAGACGUGUCAUCUAUUCUCAGCGGUACGUACGUACACGUAUGAACGCACGUGCGAGUUUCCAAUAAAAUUGCCAUGUGUGAUGUGCCUUUGAUAUAUUGUUCUUUUUAUCGAAUGCCUUUGAUAUAUUGUUCUUUUUUAUCGAAUGCCUUUGAUAUAUUGUUUGCGGCAAUUUACACACAAAAGAGCGUG